GCCCUUUGCGUAGGUGACCUGCGGAGGGAUCAUUACAGAGUUAUCUAACUCCCAAACCCAUGUGAACUUACCAUUGUUGCCUCGGCAGAACCUACCCGGUACCUACCCUGUAACGACCUACCCUGUAGCGAGUUACCCGGGAACGGCCUACCCUGUAGUGCGCUGCCGGCGGACCUCUUAACUCUUGUUAUUUUACUGUAAUCUGAGCGUCUUAUUUUAAUAAGUCAAAACUUUCAACAACGGAUCUCUUGGUUCUGGCAUCGAUGAAGAACGCAGCGAAAUGCGAUACGUAAUGUGAAUUGCAGAAUUCAGUGAAUCAUCGAAUCUUUGAACGCACAUUGCGCCCAUUAGUAUUCUAGUGGGCAUGCCUGUUCGAGCGUCAUUUCAACCCUUAAGCCUAGCUUAGUGUUGGGAGCCUACUGUACUGUAGCUCCCCAAAUCCAACGGCGGAUCUGUGGUGUCCUCUGAGCGUAGUAAUUUUUAUCUCGCUUUUGCCAGGUGCUGCAGCUCUCAGCCGCUAAACCCCCCAAAUUUUUAAUGGUUGACCUCGGAUCAGGUAGGAAUACCC
RNAcentral lists this ribosomal RNA (568 nucleotides) under uncultured Ascomycota. Its description in RNAcentral is "eukaryotic LSU rRNA". The stretch from base 229 to 382 matches the Rfam family "5.8S ribosomal RNA". The record is from RNAcentral. Lineage: Eukaryota; Fungi; Ascomycota.